RNAcentral lists this ribosomal RNA (577 nucleotides) under fungal endophyte sp. g18. RNAcentral describes it as "eukaryotic LSU rRNA". The stretch from base 216 to 369 matches the Rfam family "5.8S ribosomal RNA". RNAcentral also lists the same sequence under 1 other name. The record is from RNAcentral. Lineage: Eukaryota; Fungi.
CUUGGUCAUUUAGAGGAAGUAAAAGUCGUAACAAGGUUUCCGUAGGUGAACCUGCGGAAGGAUCAUUACAGAGUUCAUGCCCGAAAGGGUAGACCUCCCACCCUUGUGUAUUAUUACUUUGUUGCUUUGGCGAGCUGCCUUCGGGCCUUGUAUGCUCGCCAGAGAAUACCAAAACUCUUUUUAUUAAUGUCGUCUGAGUACUAUAUAAUAGUUAAAACUUUCAACAACGGAUCUCUUGGUUCUGGCAUCGAUGAAGAACGCAGCGAAAUGCGAUAAGUAAUGUGAAUUGCAGAAUUCAGUGAAUCAUCGAAUCUUUGAACGCACAUUGCGCCCCUUGGUAUUCCGGGGGGCAUGCCUGUUCGAGCGUCAUUUCAACCCUCAAGCUUAGCUUGGUAUUGAGUCUAUGUCAGUAAUGGCAGGCUCUAAAAUCAGUGGCGGCGCCGCUGGGUCCUGAACGUAGUAAUAUCUCUCGUUACAGGUUCUCGGUGUGCUUCUGCCAAAACCCAAAUUUUUCUAUGGUUGACCUCGGAUCAGGUAGGGAUACCCGCUGAACUUAAGCAUAUCAAUAAGCGGAGGA